RNAcentral lists this long non-coding RNA (638 nucleotides) under Phasianus colchicus (ring-necked pheasant). RNAcentral describes it as "lncRNA (ENSPCLG00000004392.1)". Lineage: Eukaryota; Metazoa; Chordata; Aves; Galliformes; Phasianidae. The record is from RNAcentral.
GAAAACGUUAGUCUGGUAUUUUUCAUCAAAACUUGAUGUGAAAUCGCUUCAUGUUAUGUUCAUCAAAUAUUUGUUUUAAGGAUCUGAUCCCAUCUUAACUCAAAGGAUGGAGCAAGGAGAAAUCAAACUUAACAAGAAGUUGAGGAUUUGAAAAAAGGACAGCAUUCAUGUUUUGAUUUCCUGGAUUAAUGGCUCUGGACGGAGUCCAGUUAAGAUUUAGACAGCAGCCAAGAGCCAUUCUUCCAGCCCCACACUGUGCAGACCUGGGAGAAAGGAGGAAGUGGUCCUCAGCCUAAAGAAUUUAAACUCUCAGAAAAGUGGUGAUGAAAUAGAAGUCAUGCUAAUUUCAAGUGUUAAUGAAGCAGAAUCCAUCCUGAUGUGAAGUGGCACAAGAUAUGAGUGUGGACAUUGGAGGUAAUUCUCUCCUGGAGCCUCACUCCAUGAGCACUCGCUCCACGAAAAGCUGCUUUGGUUUCAGAGGGAGUGAAGCUGAUCCGGAGGUGUUGACAGAUUUGUGGCAGUGCUGCCUGGGCCCUGCAGGAUGCAGCUCUAGCUACCCGAGGAUCCUCUGUGACACAGCCACAAUGGGACCAGACUUUAUGGUCUAUUGUGUUAACAAUCUGUGAAUUAAAGCAUCC